Molecule: long non-coding RNA, 3859 nt
Filed under: Sus scrofa (pig)
Lineage: Eukaryota; Metazoa; Chordata; Mammalia; Artiodactyla; Suidae
Description: lncRNA (ENSSSCG00035009778.1)
Source: RNAcentral
GCUUCUGCUGUCUGCCCUUCCCCAAACUUGGUGGUUUGGGAUGUUGGGUUGGGGGGCGGGGAACGCGGGGAGAUUUUUGGGACGGGAAGUGUGCUUGGCAAAUGCUCCCAGGCAAGUGCAUUGCAAUGUGAAUCUGUGCCCUGCAGGACAGAAAAAUACCGACGGGUCGCCUAGCAGAUUGGGCAUCGGUGUAACAGUUUUUUUUUUAAAUUAGUCCUCAUCGACCAAGUCUGUCAAAAACAGAGAAGCUGUGGGUUUAUUUGAACAUUUUUAAGGCGCUCAAAGACUUUGUUUAUUUAAAGCACUUUGAGAUAUGCCAGAUUUAAGUAAAUGGAAACUUUAGCCGCCUCAGGUGGGUUUUAUUUUUUGUUGGUUUUCUUUUGGUUUGGGAUUUUUUUUGCUUCAGUUGUUUGAAUUCAUUGUGUGUCUGCACUUUAUCAAAGCCGGCUAUUGAGAAUCCUUUGGGAGAAGAUAAUCUUGUUGGACAGAAGGGAGGAGCACUGAGCAAGAUUUGAGGUAAGCCAUUGUAACGUGUUGUCCGACUCUCCAGCCUGCUGGUAGAAUAUUCAAAGCAAAAACCCAACUGAAGUAAGCUACUCGCAUUGCAAUUUAGACAGGAGCCAGCACAGCCUGAGUAGGUAAGUGUCUUGCUACUUCCUGGGCAAAUUCAGCUGUAAAUAUUUGCCGUCUCUGAAUUUCACCUUUAGCCCUUUUACUUUACUUCUCUCUUCUUUUAACUGUCUGUGAUCAUUUCUGCCUGUGUUCCCUCCCCUACUAAACUCUUUAUUUCCUUCAGAGCGUGGUUCCCAUCCAAUUCAUCUUUGAUUACUCCUAAAACUUUCCAUUCCCAAGUUGUCCACUUGCACAAGGGCAACUCACAUGUGAUUGAACAUGGGAGAGGCUAUCCAGUGACAUGGAGACCAGAGAAGAAAUUAUCAGAGGAAUGGACUGGGGAAAAUGGGACCAUGUUCUAGCUCUUCCAGUGAAAUCCAUUUAUUCAAAGAACAAUGACUGAGCGUUGAGUGCGUCUGAGAUGUUUGCUGUACUCUAAAUGUUUAUGGCCCCUCAAAAUUUAUAUGUUGAAAUCUGAUCUCCAAAAUGAUAGUAUCAGCAGAGGAGGGGACUUUGGGGAUGAGUGGGUCAUGAGGGUGGAACCACAUAAAAGGGAUCUGUGCCCUUUUAAAAGAGGCUGCAGAUAGCUCUGUCGCCCCUUUGGCCUCUGGAGGAUACAAGGAGAAGUUAGGGAUCUGCGGCAAGGAAUAGGGCUCUCACCAGUGAGCACUGACUGCCAGGAUUCUGGUCUUGGACUUCCAGCUCUAGAACUGGGAGGAAUAAAUGUUUGUUGUUUAUAAACUACCCAGUGUUUGGUAUUUUGUUUUAGCAGCUUGAAUGGACUAAGACAAUGUCAUUCUAAGAUGUGUGGGGAUAGGAAUAUUCUAGUGUUGUGCCUGCCGUCAAGAGUAUGGUUAAUUUGCAUUCUGGAGGUCCUCAGGCAUUCAGCUGUAAUUGGACAAACACAACUGAAGUUUUUAUGAGUCACUUAAGGACCUCUAGUCAAGCAUCUUCACUCAGUAGGCUCAGAAUGUACAAGAACACUGAGAAAUCCAGGGGGAAAGUCUCCCAACACAAAGUAUGCCAAGCCUUGGGAUUCCCCUGCCUGUUUUUCCAAAUAUUGCAACUUCUUACCUUUGCAUGCUAUGCUGCGAUGAUAAAACCUCCCAACUUUGUCUCUUACCUCUUUGCACAUUUACAUUUGGUUUUUUCUACAUCUGUAGCACUCUUCCUAUUUUCAUCUUCAUCUUAAUUCUUUCCCUCAUUUUUCAUGAUUCAGUUCCUACAUUAGAAAGCUUUUCCUUUCUAAAGGACUGGUUAGGGAGUUCCUGUUGUGGUGCACUGGAAAUGAAUCUGAUUAGUUAUCCAUGAGGAUUCGGGUUUGACCCCUGGCCUCACUCAGUAGGUUAAGGAUCCAGCAUUGCUGUGAGCUGUGGUGUAGGUCACAGACACGAAUAAAGGACUGCUUAGGAGUUUCUCCUAGGUGUUUCCAUGUUGCACUGUGCUCAUCUCUUUCAUAUCACACUAAAAUGAUAGUUAUCUUCUUGAGGUGAGUUCUACUUUAGAUGGGGAGCAACUUGAGGACCAGAGUUAUGCCUUUACAUGCAUCCCCAGGAAAAUGGCAGUAUGAGGAGCUCUAUGGAGUUACUCCCCAGGAAACACCUACAACUGGUGAAUAUUUUAGACAACAAGCAUUUAAAAUUUCUUGGCACUGGAGUUCCUGUCGUGGUUCAGUGGUUAAUGAAUCUGACUAGCAUCCAUGAGGACACAGGUUCGAUCCCUGGCCUUGCUCAGUGGGUUAAGGAUUUGGCAUUGCCGUGAGUUGUGGUAUAGGUUGCAGAUGUGGCUCGGAUCUGGUGUUGCUGUGGCUGUGGCAUAGGCUGGCAGCUACACUCCGAUUUGAUCCCUAUCCUGGGAACCUCCAUAUGGUGCGGGUGUGGCCCUAAAAAGCAAAAAAAAAAAAAAAGUUUCUUGACGUUGAAGGGAAUACAGCAGAUGUAGAAACAUUUAUUCAAGAACAUCUACUAAAUCUUGGUAAGAACAGCGAGAGUCAGUGGCACUUGAGCUAUGACCUCCAACCCCAACCCCACCCCCCACUCAGUGUAACAGAAGCUCCACUCUGGUUGGCCGUGGCCAAGAAGAUGACAGUCGAUCUUCCCCUAGAUCUCAGUAAAGGGCUGUGGAUCUCCUGGGAGAGACAGGCUGCCAGCAUUUUCAUCCUCCUUAGCAUAAUGUUGCAAAGGCUGAAUUCCAAUAAAUGGGUGCUAGAGAUUAGAGAGACAUUACUCAUAGAAGAGAGGCUCUAUCCUAGGGUCAGGAGGCCAGCAGUGCUGGGGCCCCAAACAACCUCAGCUCACACAGCUUACUCAUGAGUUCCAGGCCAGGAGAGGCAGCCUGGGAACAGAAGCUACUGUCCUCUUCCAUAGCCCUGCUUAUAAAGCAUGGGUAGUGUAUGGCUCUAAAAGAAAAGGGACACUUCUUCCCCAUUCCCAUCUUGAUCAGAGAUUUUGCCCAAUGGGAGAGAAAAGUCCAUUACAGCAGAGAACUCUGAAGCUCUCCACAGAGGAACUGACUUCAUUUGGAAGGGUGUGAGGAAAUUAAAACCUAAGGGUGCUCUUGAAAAUAAUGCAUAUUCUGGUGGUAAAGUAAUUAAGAGGAUGCUGGUAGUUGCAUGCAGCAGCAGGAAGUUAAACUGCAGACCUGCUAGUUUACCAGAGAAAGCCUGGCAAAGAGACAACUUGGGAUCAGAACAAAGCUCAAGAUGGGACUCAAAGGCUAUCUCUGUAAAGAAAACUAAAUGUAAUUGGAUUAAACUAUGGAGCAAUUCAUGCCCCUAGGACAUUGUCAGAAGCAGUAGAGCAAUCAGCUAACAAUUAGUGGAGCCUAAUAGCUGGGUGUGCUACUCAAAGAGGCAGGCAGUUUAACGGAGAGAUCAGGGAAAGAGACAAGAGCACUGUUGAAACCAUUGUCAUCCCAAGCUGGCUCUGUGCCUAGCCUCAGGACAUUGAUCCAUUCUCAAUAAAAACUAUAGAACUUUAUUAAAGAUGCUAAAGAUUACUUGAAUGUUUACAAAUAUGGACACUCCAUAUGAUAAAAAUGUUUCCUUUCCAGAGUUUCCGUUGUCGCACAGCAGAAACAAAUCGGACUAGUAACCAUGAGGAUGCAGGUUUAAUCCCUGGCCUCGCUCAGUGGGUCAGCAAUCAGGCAUUGCUAUGGCUGUGGUGUAGGCCCAGAGCUGUAGCUCCGAUUUGUCCUCUAGCAUGGGAACUUCCAUAUGCCUCAGGUUCGGCCCUAAAAAAAAAAAAAA